UUCGGGGUGGAUUAGUGGCGAACGGGUGAGUAACACGUGGGCAAUCUGCCCUUCACUCUGGGACAAGCCCUGGAAACGGGGUCUAAUACCGGAUACCACUCCUGCCUGCAUGGGCGGGGGUUGAAAGCUCCGGCGGUGAAGGAUGAGCCCGCGGCCUAUCAGCUUGUUGGUGGGGUAAUGGCCCACCAAGGCGACGACGGGUAGCCGGCCUGAGAGGGCGACCGGCCACACUGGGACUGAGACACGGCCCAGACUCCUACGGGAGGCAGCAGUGGGGAAUAUUGCACAAUGGGCGAAAGCCUGAUGCAGCGACGCCGCGUGAGGGAUGACGGCCUUCGGGUUGUAAACCUCUUUCAGCAGGGAAGAAGCGAAAGUGACGGUACCUGCAGAAGAAGCGCCGGCUAACUACGUGCCAGCAGCCGCGGUAAUACGUAAGGCGCAAGCGUUGUCCGGAAUUAUUGGGCGUAAAGAGCUCGUAAGCGGCUUGUCACGUCCGAUGUGAAAGCCCGAGGCUUAACCUCGGGUCUGCAUUCGAUACGGGCUAGCUAGAGUGUGGUAGGGGAGAUCGGAAUUCCUGGUGUAGCGGUGAAAUGCGCAGAUAUCACGAGGAACACCCGUGGCGAAAGCGGAUCUCUGGGGCAUUACUGACGCUGAAGAGCGAAAACGUGGGGAGCGAACAGGAUUAGAUACCCUGGUAGUCCACGCCGUAAACGUUGGGAACUAAGUGUUGGCGACAUUCCACGUCGUCGGUGGCGCAGCUAACGCAUUAAGUUCCCCCCUGGGGAGUACGGCCGCCAGGC
Molecule: ribosomal RNA, 800 nt
Filed under: Streptomyces spororaveus
Lineage: Bacteria; Bacillati; Actinomycetota; Actinomycetes; Kitasatosporales; Streptomycetaceae
Description: bacterial SSU rRNA
Rfam family: Bacterial small subunit ribosomal RNA
Source: RNAcentral